GAUAGUGUGUUCUCGUCGGCGGAGGAUGCCCCUUUGUGGCGUACCUAUAACUGUUGCUUCGGGGGGCAGGGUCUCCGUGACCCUCCCGGCCUCCCGCCCCCGGGCGGGUCGGCGCCCGCCGGAGGAUAACCAAACUCCGAUUUAACGACGUUUCUUCUGAGUGGUACAAGCGAAUAAUCAAAACUUUUAACAACGGAUCUCUUGGUUCUGGCAUCGAUGAAGAACGCAGCGAAAUGCGAUAAGUAAUGUGAAUUGCAGAAUUCAGUGAAUCAUCGAAUCUUUGAACGCACAUUGCGCCCGCCAGCAUUCUGGCGGGCAUGCCUGUUCGAGCGUCAUUUCAACCCUCAAGCUCUGCUUGGUGUUGGGGCCCUACAGCUGAUGUAGGCCCUCAAAGGUAGUGGCGGACCCUCCCGGAGCCUCCUUUGCGUAGUAACUUUACGUCUCGCACUGGGAUCCGGAGGGACUCUUGCCGUAAAACCCCCCAAUUUUCCAAAGGUAGACCUCGGAUCAGGUAGGAAUACCCCGCUGAACGUAAGCAUAUCAUUUAAGCGGAGGAA
RNAcentral lists this ribosomal RNA (557 nucleotides) under Colletotrichum gloeosporioides. RNAcentral's name for it is "eukaryotic LSU rRNA". The stretch from base 182 to 335 matches the Rfam family "5.8S ribosomal RNA". The record is from RNAcentral. Lineage: Eukaryota; Fungi; Ascomycota; Sordariomycetes; Glomerellales; Glomerellaceae.